AUUGAACGCUGGCGGCAGGCCUAACACAUGCAAGUCGAACGGUAACAGGAAACAGCUUGCUGUUUCGCUGACGAGUGGCGGACGGGUGAGUAAUGUCUGGGAAACUGCCUGAUGGAGGGGGAUAACUACUGGAAACGGUAGCUAAUACCGCAUAACGUCGCAAGACCAAAGAGGGGGACCCUCGGGCCUCUUGCCAUCGGAUGUGCCCAGAUGGGAUUAGCUUGUUGGUGGGGUAACGGCUCACCAAGGCGACGAUCCCUAGCUGGUCUGAGAGGAUGACCAGCCACACUGGAACUGAGACACGGUCCAGACUCCUACGGGAGGCAGCAGUGGGGAAUAUUGCACAAUGGGCGCAAGCCUGAUGCAGCCAUGCCGCGUGUAUGAAGAAGGCCUUCGGGUUGUAAAGUACUUUCAGCGGGGAGGAAGGGAGUAAAGUUAAUACCUUUGCUCAUUGACGUUACCCGCAGAAGAAGCACCGGCUAACUCCGG
Molecule: ribosomal RNA, 489 nt
Filed under: uncultured bacterium
Lineage: Bacteria
Description: partial 16S ribosomal RNA
Rfam family: Bacterial small subunit ribosomal RNA
Source: RNAcentral